UGGUCCCUACGGGGCGCAGCAGUGGGGAAUAUUGCACAAUGGGCGAAAGCCUGAUGCAGCAACGCCGCGUGAAGGAAGAAGGGUUUCGGCUCGUAAACUUCUAUUAACAGGGACGAAAGAAAUGACGGUACCUGAAUAAGAAGCCCCGGCUAACUACGUGCCAGCAGCCGCGGGAAUACGGAGGGGGCAAGAGGUAUCCGGAAUUACUGGGUGUAAAGGGUGAGUAGGCGGCAUGGUAAGACAGAUGUGAAAGCCUUGGGCUUAACCCGAGGAGUGCAUUUGGAACUAUCAAGCUAGAGUACAGG
This 305-nucleotide ribosomal RNA is filed under the name uncultured bacterium. RNAcentral's name for it is "bacterial SSU rRNA". It matches the Rfam family "Bacterial small subunit ribosomal RNA", at positions 333 to 652 of the family's 1533-position model. The record is from RNAcentral.